CAGCAGCCGCGGGAAUACGAAGGGUGCAAGCGUUGAUCGGAAUUACUGGGCGUAAAGCGUGCGUAGGCGGUUUGUUAAGUCUGUUGUGAAAUCCCCGGGCUCAACCUGGGAAUGGCAAUGGAUACUGGCAAGCUAGAGUGUGUCAGAGGAUGGUGGAAUUCCCGGUGUAGCGGUGAAAUGCGUAGAGAUCGGGAGGAACAUCAGUGGCGAAGGCGGCCAUCUGGGACAACACUGACGCUGAGGCACGAAAGCGUGGGGAGCAAACAGGAUUAGAUACCCCGGUAGUCCCUGUCUCUUAUAA
This 301-nucleotide ribosomal RNA is filed under the name uncultured bacterium. RNAcentral's name for it is "partial 16S ribosomal RNA". It matches the Rfam family "Bacterial small subunit ribosomal RNA", at positions 509 to 809 of the family's 1533-position model. The record is from RNAcentral.